GUUGUAUAGUCAAGUAAUUAAGUGCAUGUGGUGGAUGCCUUGGCAGUCAGAGGCGAUGAAAGACGUGAUAGCCUGCGAAAAGCUCCGGGGAGGCGGCAAAUAUCCUUUGAUCCGGAGAUGUCUGAAUGGGGGAACCCACCUACUUUAAGGUAGGUAUUGCAACAUGAAUACAUAGUGUUGCAAGGCGAACGAGGGGAAGUGAAACAUCUCAGUACCCUUAGGAAAAGAAAUCAAUUGAGAUUCCCUCAGUAGCGGCGAGCGAACGGGGAUCAGCCCAUUAAGUUAUGUGUGUUUUAGUGGAACGCUCUGGGAAGUGCGAACGUAGAGGGUGAUAUUCCCGUACACGAAAGGGCACACAUAAUGAUGACGAGUAGGGCGAGGCACGUGAAACCUUGUCUGAAUAUGGGGGGACCAUCCUCCAAGGCUAAAUACUCCUGACUGACCGAUAGUGAACCAGUACCGUGAGGGAAAGGCGAAAAGAACCCCUGUGAGGGGAGUGAAAUAGAUCCUGAAACCGCAUGCAUACAAGCAGUGGGAGCACCUUCGUGGUGUGACUGCGUACCUUUUGUAUAAUGGGUCAGCGACUUAUAUUCAGUAGCAAGGUUAACCGUAUAGGGGAGCCGUAGAGAAAUCGAGUCUUAAUAGGGCGUUUAGUUGCUGGGUAUAGACCCGAAACCAGGCGAUCUAUCCAUGAGCAGGUUGAAGGUUGGGUAACACUAACUGGAGGACCGAACCCACUGUCGUUGAAAAGCCAGGGGAUGACUUGUGGAUAGGGGUGAAAGGCUAAUCAAGCCUGGUGAUAGCUGGUUCUCCCCGAAAGCUAUUUAGGUAGCGCCUCGGACGAAUACCAUAGGGGGUAGAGCACUGUUUCGGCUAGGGGGUCAUCCCGACUUACCAAACCGAUGCAAACUCCGAAUACCUAUGAGUACUAUCCGGGAGACAGACUGCGGGUGCUAACGUCCGUAGUCAAGAGGAAAACAAUCCAGACCGCCAGCUAAGGCCCCAAAAUCAUAGUUAAGUGGGAAACGAUGUGGGAAGGCAUAGACAGCUAGGAGGUUGGCUUAGAAGCAGCCACCCUUUAAAGAAAGCGUAAUAGCUCACUAGUCGAGUCGGCCUGCGCGGAAGAUGUAACGGGGCUAAAACUAUGUGCCGAAGCUGCGGAUNNNNNNNNNNNNNNNNNNNNNNNNNNNAUGCUGGAGGUAUCAGAAGUGCGAAUGCUGACGUGAGUAACGACAAAACGGGUGAAAAACCCGUUCGCCGAAAGACCAAGGGUUCCAGUCCAACGUUAAUCGGGGCUGGGUGAGUCGACCCCUAAGGCGAGGCCGAAAGGCGUAGUCGAUGGGAAAAUGGUUAAUAUUCCAUUACUUCUGUGUAAUGCGAUGAGAGGACGGAGAAGGCUAAAUCAGCCUGGCGUUGGUUGUCCAGGUGAAAGGAUGUAGGCAUGUAUCUUAGGCAAAUCCGGGGUACUCUAUGCUGAGAUCUGAUAGCAAGCUGUACUUGUACAGCGAAGUGGUUGAUGCCAUGCUUCCAGGAAAAGUCUCUAAGCUUCAGUUACACAGGAAUCGUACCCGAAACCGACACAGGUGGUCAGGUCGAGUAGACCAAGGCGCUUGAGAGAACUCUGCUGAAGGAACUAGGCAAAAUGGUACCGUAACUUCGGGAGAAGGUACGCUGUUGUUGGUGAUGGAACUCGCUUCCUGAGCUGACGACAGCCGCAGAAACCAGGCCGCUGCAACUGUUUAUUAAAAACAUAGCACUCUGCAAACACGAAAGUGGACGUAUAGGGUGUGAUGCCUGCCCGGUGCUGGAAGGUUAAUUGAUGGGGUUAGCGUAAGCGAAGCUCUUGAUCGAAGCCCCAGUAAACGGCGGCCGUAACUAUAACGGUCCUAAGGUAGCGAAAUUCCUUGUCGGGUAAGUUCCGACCUGCACGAAUGGCAUAAUGAUGGCGGCGCUGUCUCCAGCAGAGGCUCAGUGAAAUCGAAAUCGCUGUGAAGAUGCAGUGUACCCGCGGCUAGACGGAAAGACCCCGUGAACCUUUACUGCAGCUUGACACUGAACUUUGACCUUACUUGUGUAGGAUAGGUGGGAGGCUUUGAAGCUGGAACGCUAGUUCCAGUGGAGCCGUCCUUGAAAUACCACCCUGGUAAUGUUGAGGUUCUAACUCUGUCCCGUGAUCCGGGACGAGGACCGUGUCUGGUGGGUAGUUUGACUGGGGCGGUCUCCUCCUAAAGAGUAACGGAGGAGUACGAAGGUGCGCUCAGCGUGGUCGGAAAUCACGCGUAGAGUAUAAAGGCAAAAGCGCGCUUAACUGCGAGACCCACAAGUCGAGCAGGUACGAAAGUAGGUCUUAGUGAUCCGGUGGUUCUGUAUGGAAGGGCCAUCGCUCAACGGAUAAAAGGUACUCUGGGGAUAACAGGCUGAUACCGCCCAAGAGUUCAUAUCGACGGCGGUGUUUGGCACCUCGAUGUCGGCUCAUCUCAUCCUGGGGCUGAAGCAGGUCCCAAGGGUAUGGCUGUUCGCCAUUUAAAGAGGUACGCGAGCUGGGUUUAGAACGUCGUGAGACAGUUCGGUCCCUAUCUACCGUGGGCGCUGGAAAUUUGAGAGGAUCUGCUCCUAGUACGAGAGGACCAGAGUGGACGAACCUCUGGUGUACCGGUUGUGACGCCAGUCGCAUCGCCGGGUAGCUAUGUUCGGAAGGGAUAACCGCUGAAAGCAUCUAAGCGGGAAGCCUACCUCAAGAUAAGAUUUCCCUAGGACUUUAUGUCCUCUAAAGAGCCGUUCGAGACUAGGACGUUGAUAGGUUGGAUGUGGAAGCAUAGUGAUAUGUGAAGCUGACCAAUACUAAUUGCUCGUGAGGCUUGACUAUACAACACCCAAGCAGUUG
RNAcentral lists this ribosomal RNA (2884 nucleotides) under Acinetobacter baumannii. RNAcentral's name for it is "bacterial LSU rRNA". It matches the Rfam family "Bacterial large subunit ribosomal RNA". Lineage: Bacteria; Pseudomonadati; Pseudomonadota; Gammaproteobacteria; Moraxellales; Moraxellaceae. The record is from RNAcentral.